GAGCGGCAGCGGAAGUAGCUUGCUACUUUGCCGGCGAGCGGCGGACGGGUGAGUAGUGUCUGGGAAACUGCCUGAUGGAGGGGGAUAACUACUGGAAACGGUAGCUAAUACCGCAUAACGUCGCAAGACCAAAGAGGGGGACCUUCGGGCCUCUUGCCAUCAGAUGUGCCCAGAUGGGAUUAGCUAGUAGGUGGGGUAACGGCUCACCUAGGCGACGAUCCCUAUCUGGUCUGAGAGGAUGACCAGCCACACUGGAACUGAGACACGGUCCAGACUCCUACGGGAGGCAGCAGUGGGGAAUAUUGCACAAUGGGCGCAAGCCUGAUGCAGCCAUGCCGCGUGUAUGAAGAAGGCCUUCGGGUUGUAAAGUACUUUCAGCGGGGAGGAAGGCGUUGAGGUUAAUAACCUCAGCGAUUGACGUUACCCGCAGAAGAAGCACCGGCUAACUCCGUGCCAGCAGCCGCGGUAAUACGGAGGGUGCAAGCGUUAAUCGGAAUUACUGGGCGUAAAGCGCACGCAGGCGGUCUGUCAAGUCGGAUGUGAAAUCCCCGGGCUCAACCUGGGAACUGCAUUCGAAACUGGCAGGCUAGAGUCUUGUAGAGGGGGGUAGAAUUCCGGGUGUAGCGGUGAAAUGCGUAGAGAUCUGGAGGAAUACCGGUGGCGAAGGCGGCCCCCUGGACAAAGACUGACGCUCAGGUGCGAAAGCGUGGGGGAGCAAACGGGAUUAUAUACCCUGGUACUCCACGCCGUAAACAAUGUCGACUUGGAG
Molecule: ribosomal RNA, 769 nt
Filed under: Enterobacter mori
Lineage: Bacteria; Pseudomonadati; Pseudomonadota; Gammaproteobacteria; Enterobacterales; Enterobacteriaceae
Description: bacterial SSU rRNA
Rfam family: Bacterial small subunit ribosomal RNA
Source: RNAcentral